Molecule: transfer RNA, 71 nt
Filed under: Rhipicephalus microplus (southern cattle tick)
Lineage: Eukaryota; Metazoa; Arthropoda; Arachnida; Ixodida; Ixodidae
Description: tRNA-Gly
Rfam family: tRNA
About the family: Transfer RNA (tRNA) molecules are approximately 80 nucleotides in length. Their secondary structure includes four short double-helical elements and three loops (D, anti-codon, and T loops).
Source: Rfam by way of RNAcentral
GCGUCGGUGGUUCAGUGGUAGAAUACUCGCCUGCCACGCGGGUGACCCGGGUUUGAUUCCCGGCCGACGCA